Molecule: ribosomal RNA, 274 nt
Filed under: uncultured bacterium
Lineage: Bacteria
Description: partial 16S ribosomal RNA
Rfam family: Bacterial small subunit ribosomal RNA
Source: RNAcentral
AUACGGAGGGUGCAAGCGUUAAUCGGAAUUACUGGGCGUAAAGCGCGCGUAGGCGGUUUGAUAAGUCGGAUGUGAAAUCCCCGGGCUCAACCUGGGAAUUGCAUUCGAUACUGUCAGGCUAGAGUGUGGUAGAGGGAAGUGGAAUUUCCGGUGUAGCGGUGAAAUGCGUAGAUAUCGGAAGGAACACCAGUGGCGAAGGCGGCUUCCUGGACCAACACUGACGCUGAGGUGCGAAAGCGUGGGGAGCAAACAGGAUUAGAAACCCCUGUAGUCC